GCGGAGGGAUCAUUAAAGAGUUCUAUAACUCCCAAACCCAUGUGAACAUACCUAACGUUGCCUCGGCAGGUCGCACCUACCUUGUAGCACCCUACCCUGUAGGGCCUACCCGGGAGGUGCGGGUAAGCCUGCCGGCGGCCCACCAAACUCUGUUUGAUAUUGAAUUCUGAACCUAUAACUAAAUAAGUUAAAACUUUCAACAACGGAUCUCUUGGUUCUGGCAUCGAUGAAGAACGCAGCGAAAUGCGAUAAGUAAUGUGAAUUGCAGAAUUCAGUGAAUCAUCGAAUCUUUGAACGCAUAUUGCGCCCAUUAGUAUUCUAGUGGGCAGGACCGUUCGAGCGUCAUUUCAACCCUUAAGCCUUCGUUGCUUAGUGUUGGGAGCCUACGGCAACGUAGCUCCUCAAAGUUAGUGGCGGAGUUAGUUCACACUCUAGACGUAGUAAUUUUUUAUCUCGCCUAUUAGUUGGACUAAUCCCCUGCCGUAAAACCCCCAAUUUAUCAAGGUUGACCUCGAAUCGGUUCAGACAAACUCGCUAAAUUGAAGCAUCUUAGUCAGCGAAGGAAAAGAAACCAACAGGGAUUGCCCUAGUAACGGCGAGUGAAGCGGCAACAGCUCAAAUUUGAAAUCUGGCCCUCGGGUCCGAGUUGUAAUUUGUAGAGGAUG
Molecule: ribosomal RNA, 665 nt
Filed under: fungal endophyte
Lineage: Eukaryota; Fungi
Description: eukaryotic LSU rRNA
Rfam family: 5.8S ribosomal RNA (bases 192-345)
Source: RNAcentral